Molecule: ribosomal RNA, 377 nt
Filed under: uncultured eukaryote
Lineage: Eukaryota
Description: partial 18S ribosomal RNA
Rfam family: Eukaryotic small subunit ribosomal RNA
Source: RNAcentral
CAAUAGCGUAUAUUUAAGUUGCUGCAGUUAAAAAGCUCGUAGUUGGAUUUCGGGUGGGAAUGGCCGGUCCGCCGUUUCGGUGUGCACUUGCUACGCCCACCUUGCUGCCGGGGACGUGCUCUUGAGUUCACGCUCGGGACACGGAGUCGGCGAGGUUACUUUGAGUAAAUUAGAGUGUUCAAAGCAGGCCUACGCUCUGAAUACAUUAGCAUGGAAUAACACGAUAGGACUCUGGCCUAUCUUGUUGGUCUGUAGGACCGGAGUAAUGAUUAAGAGGGACAGUCGGGGGCAUCCGUAUUUCAUUGUCAGAGGUGAAAUUCUUGGAUUUAUGAAAGACGAACUACUGCGAAAGCAUUUGCCAAGGAUGUUUUCAUUAA